This 110-nucleotide small RNA is filed under the name Marmota monax (woodchuck). Lineage: Eukaryota; Metazoa; Chordata; Mammalia; Rodentia; Sciuridae. The record is from RNAcentral.
GCCAGGAGUGGUGGCCACACCUGUGAUCCCAGCAGCUUGCUUGGGAGGCUGAGGCAGGAGGAUCGCAAGUUCAAGGCCAGCCUCAGCAACUUAGUGAGAACUUGCCUCAA